This 489-nucleotide ribosomal RNA is filed under the name uncultured bacterium. Its description in RNAcentral is "partial 16S ribosomal RNA". It matches the Rfam family "Bacterial small subunit ribosomal RNA", at positions 30 to 523 of the family's 1533-position model. The record is from RNAcentral.
AUUGAACGCUGGCGGCAGGCCUAACACAUGCAAGUCGAGCGGGGGUAGCAAUACCCUAGCGGCGAACGGGUGAGGAAUGCUUGGGAAUCUGCCUGGUAGUGGGGGAUAACGUUCCGAAAGGAACGCUAAUACCGCAUACGUCCUACGGGAGAAAGGGGGGGAUCUUCGGACCUCUCGCUAUCAGAUGAGCCCAAGCGGGAUUAGCUAGUUGGUGGGGUAAAGGCCACCAAGGGGACGAUCCCUAGCUGGUCUGAGAGGAUGAUCAGCCACACUGGAACUGAGACACGGUCCAGACUCCUACGGGAGGCAGCAGGGGGGAAUAUUGGACAAUGGGCGAAAGCCUGAUCCAGCCAUGCCGCGUGUGUGAAGAAGGCCUUCGGGUUGUAAAGCACUUUAAGCGAGGAGGAAGGUUCGUUACUUAAUACGUAACGGAAUUGACGUUACUCGCAGAAUAAGCACCGGCUAACUCUGUGCCAGCCGCCGCGGUAA